GCCCGUGUAGCUCAGUGGUAGAGCACACCCUUGGUAAGGGUGAGGUCACGAGUUCAAUCCUCGUCACGGGCUUCA
Molecule: transfer RNA, 75 nt
Filed under: Cyanobacteria bacterium J055
Lineage: Bacteria; Bacillati; Cyanobacteriota
Description: tRNA-Thr
Rfam family: tRNA
About the family: Transfer RNA (tRNA) molecules are approximately 80 nucleotides in length. Their secondary structure includes four short double-helical elements and three loops (D, anti-codon, and T loops). Further hydrogen bonds mediate the characteristic L-shaped molecular structure. tRNAs have two regions of fundamental functional importance: the anti-codon, which is responsible for specific mRNA codon recognition, and the 3' end, to which the tRNAs corresponding amino acid is attached (by aminoacyl-tRNA synthetases). tRNAs cope with the degeneracy of the genetic code in two manners: having more than one tRNA (with a specific anti-codon) for a particular amino acid; and 'wobble' base-pairing, i.e. permitting non-standard base-pairing at the 3rd anti-codon position.
Source: RNAcentral